RNAcentral lists this long non-coding RNA (1331 nucleotides) under Medicago truncatula (barrel medic). RNAcentral describes it as "lncRNA gene36363". Lineage: Eukaryota; Viridiplantae; Streptophyta; Magnoliopsida; Fabales; Fabaceae. The record is from RNAcentral.
AAAAAAAACACAGCAUAUGUGACCUCAACAUCAAUUUUUUAUCCUAAAGGGGGACCAAUCUACAAUUAUUUCUACAUCAUAUAAUUCAUAUUUAAAAAUUGCAGCAUCAACCUUGCUAGCCAAGCAUUGUUUCAAUUUCACGUGCAACGAACCAAUUAAAGCAUAUAUCACCUUAACUAGUCUUCUCUUACAGUAGACCUCUGGCAAUCAUUUCACGUAGUAGUUUCUCUGCCCUUUCGUUCUUAUCAUUUUCAAAGAGAGUGCGAAUAAUUGUUUCACAAGUUACAGCAUCAGGAACACAUCCAUUGUCUUCCAUUUUUGACAGCAGGGUCUCAGCUUCAUUAAGCAAACCCUCUAAUCAAAGACCUUUGAUCAUAAUAGUAUAUGUCCAGACUGUUAAAUUGUAGCCUUUAAUCAAAAGAUCCUGAAAAAUCACUUGUGCAUCCUUAAGCCUUCCUUGUUUGCACAGUCCAUCGAUAAGUAUAUUGUAUGUGUACAUAUCUAGUUGAAUGCCUUGGUCUUUAAUUUUCUUGACUAAUGCAAUAGCCUUGUCAACAUGAUGGUUUUUGCAUAAAGCAUCUAUUAAUGAAUUGUAAGUGAUUAUAUCAGCUGGUUGACCAUUAUCACGCAUCUCAUCAACAAGCUCCCAAGCAUAGGAGAUUCUCCCAGAUUUGCACAAACCAUCAAUUAGAGAAUUGUAAGUUACCGUAUCAGGAGCAAUUCUUCUGCAACACAUUUCAUAAAAGAGACUCAAGGCUUUGUCGACCAUUUUAAUCUUACAGAAUCCAUUAAUCACGAUACUAUAGCUACGAGCAUUGGGAGCCACUCUCAUUCGAGAUAUAAUACUUAACACAUGUUUAGCCUUAUUAACUUCAUUAACAAGACAAUAUCCAUCCAUUAAUGAACUGUAGGUAACAACAUCUGGCAUCACACCUUCUUUCAUCAUCACAGCUAUCCCACUUUUAGCUUCUUUGAUCUUUCCUUCCUUACAUAGAGCGUCAACCAAUAUGUUAAAAGUAUACACAUCUGGGUUGAUGUUUUUCAAUACCAUUUCACGGAGCAAACCAAAUGCUUCUUUGAAUUGACCAACAAUGCAAUAUCCAUAGAUUAGAGAAUUGAGAGUGACAACAGUAGGAGAAAUUCUCUUUGUAAUCAUUUCAGAAUAUAACUCAUAUGCAUCAUUUACAAGUUUAUCUUUGCACAAACCAUCAAUGAUUGUACUAUACAUUACAACAUUGGUGCUGACCAAUUUCCCUUCGAUCUGUCUCAACAUUUGCAACGCCGCUCUUGUUUCCCCUAUUUUACACAACCCAUUGAUCAAGGUCCCGUAG